CAGUAGCCGCGGGAAUACGAAGGGUGCAAGCGUUACUCGGAAUUACUGGGCGUAAAGCGUGCGUAGGUGGUGGUUUAAGUCCGUUGUGAAAGCCCUGGGCUCAACCUGGGAAUUGCAGUGGAUACUGGGUCACUAGAGUGUGGUAGAGGAUAGUGGAAUUUCCGGUAUAGCAGUGAAAUGCGUAGAGAUCGGAAGGAACAUCUGUGGCGAAGGCGACUAUCUGGGCCAACACUGACACUGAGGCACGAAAGCGUGGGGAGCAAACAGGAUUAGAUACCCGCGUAGUCCCUGUCUCUUAUAA
Molecule: ribosomal RNA, 301 nt
Filed under: uncultured bacterium
Lineage: Bacteria
Description: partial 16S ribosomal RNA
Rfam family: Bacterial small subunit ribosomal RNA
Source: RNAcentral